UCAACGGGGCUAAAAUCAUAACCGAAGCUUGGGAUAUACUAAUGUAUAUGGUAGGGGAGCGUUGUGUAAGGGGUGAAGUCAUAGCGGAAGCGGUGGUGGACUUUACACAAGUGAGAAUGCCGGAAUGAGUAGCGCGAAUUAUGUGAGAAUCAUAAUGGCCGAAAGUCUAAGGUUUUUGGAGGAAGGUUCGUCCGCUCCAAGUUAGUCGGGAGCUAAGGUCAGGCCGAAAGGCGUAGCCGAUGCACAUACGGUAGACAUUCCGUAACCAUCGAAGUAUUUAAGCAAAGGGACACUUUGGGAAGGUACAAGCCAGGCGUUGGUAGCCCUGGUCGUAAGGGACUGAAGUUUAGUAAGGAAGUGUACUGGAACAGAGGCGAGAAAAGCUUUGUGUAUAUACAAGAUGCCCGUACCGCAAACCGACACAGGUAGAUGGGAAGAGAAUUCUAAGGCCAACGGGAGAAGGGUUGUUAAGGAACUCGGCAAGUUGACCCCGUAACUUCGGAAGAAGGGGUGCUCCAGAAAUGGAGCCGCAGAGAAUAGGUCCAGGCGACUGUUUAGCAAAAACACAGCUCUAUGCUAAAUCGAAAGAUGAUGUAUAUGGGGUGACACCUGCCCGGUGCUGGAAGGUUAAGAGGAGAUGUGCAAGCAUUGAAUUGAAGCCCCAGUAAACGGCGGCCGUAACUAUAACGGUCCUAAGGUAGCGAAAUUCCUUGUCAGGUAAGUUCUGACCCGCACGAAUGGUGUAACGAUCUGGGCACUGUCUCAACAACCCGCCCGGCGAAAUUGUAGUACCGGUGAAGAUGCCGGUUACCCGCGACAAGACGGAAAGACCCCAUGGAGCUUUACUGUAGCUUAAUAUUGGAUUUUGAUAUUUCAUGUACAGGAUAGGUGGGAGACUGAGAAACAGAAGCGUCAGCUUCUGCGGAGUCGCCUUUGGGAUACCACUCUUGAAGUGUUGAAAUUCUAACCUGCAGCCGUGAAUCCGGCUGGGGGACAUUGUUAGGUGGGCAGUUUGACUGGGGCGGUCGCCUCCAAAAAGGUAACGGAGGCGCUCAAAGGUUCGCUCAGCAUGGACGGAAACCAUGCCCCUGAGUGUAAACGCAGAAGCGAGCCUAACUGCGAGACUGACGGGUCGAGCAGUAACGAAAGUUGGAGUUAGUGAUCCGGUGGUAUG
Molecule: ribosomal RNA, 1174 nt
Filed under: human gut metagenome
Description: bacterial LSU rRNA
Rfam family: Bacterial large subunit ribosomal RNA
Source: RNAcentral